GUUUUCGGUACUAUCAAAUACCGAAAUUAAAAGGGAAUCAAGUGCAAAUCUUGAGCAACCGCCAUUACCGUAAUUGACGAAAAGGCCGCACUGUGCCAUUGGGAAACCGAGAAGGCGCGACCCUGCAGUAUUACUGCUUUAUCAUAAGUCGGGAGACCUGCCGCAAACGA
This 170-nucleotide non-coding RNA is filed under the name uncultured Eubacterium sp. Lineage: Bacteria; Bacillati; Bacillota; Clostridia; Eubacteriales; Eubacteriaceae. The record is from RNAcentral.